CCUACGGGGGGCAGCAGUGGGGAAUAUUGCACAAUGGGCGAAAGCCUGAUGCAGCAACGCCGCGUGAAGGAAGAAGGGUUUCUGCUCGUAAACUUCUAUCAACAGGGACGAAAGAAAUUACGGUACCUGAAUAAGAAGCCCCGGCUAACUACGUGCCAGCAGCCGCGGUAAUACGUAGGGGGCAAGCGUUAUCCGGAUUUACUGGUUGUAAAGGGUGAGUAGGCGGCUUGGUAAGCCAGAUGUGAAAGGCUUGGGCUUAACCCGAGAAUUGCAUGUGAAACUAUCAAACUAGAGUACAGGGGAGGAAGGCGGAAGUCGAGGUGUAGGGGUGAAAUGCAUAGAUAUAAGGAAGAAAACCAGUGGCGAAGGCGGCUUUC
Molecule: ribosomal RNA, 377 nt
Filed under: uncultured bacterium
Lineage: Bacteria
Description: partial 16S ribosomal RNA
Rfam family: Bacterial small subunit ribosomal RNA
Source: RNAcentral